CUGACUGUGUGUGUGUUUGUGAGUGUGUGUUUGUGUCUGUGUAUGUGUCUGACUGUGUGUGUGUGUGUUUGUGUCUGACUGUGUUUGUGUCUGUGUAUGUGUCUGACUGUGUGUGUUUGUGUCUGACUGUGUUUGUGUCUGACUGUGUGUGUGUGUGUUUGUGUCUGACUGUGUGUGUGUGUCUGACUGUGUGUGUGUUUGUGUCUG
Molecule: non-coding RNA, 207 nt
Organism: Pelobates cultripes (western spadefoot toad)
Lineage: Eukaryota; Metazoa; Chordata; Amphibia; Anura; Pelobatidae
Source: the annotation of a GenBank genome assembly